This 253-nucleotide ribosomal RNA is filed under the name uncultured bacterium. Its description in RNAcentral is "partial 16S ribosomal RNA". It matches the Rfam family "Bacterial small subunit ribosomal RNA", at positions 524 to 776 of the family's 1533-position model. The record is from RNAcentral.
UACAGAGGGGGCAAGCGUUGUUCGGAAUUACUGGGCGUAAAGGGCGCGUAGGCGGCCUUCUAAGUCGAACGUGAAAUCCCCGGGCUCAACCCGGGAACUGCGUCCGAUACUGGAAGGCUUGAAUCCGGGAGAGGGAUGCGGAAUUCCAGGUGUAGCGGUGGAAUGCGCAGAUAUCGAGAGGAACACCGGUGGCGAAGGCGGCGAUCUGGACGAUGACUGACGCUGAGACGCGAAAGCGUGGGGAGCAAACAGG